UACGUAGGGGGCAAGCGUUAUCCGGAUUUAUUGGGUGUAAAGGGCGUGUAGGCGGGAAUGCAAGUCAGAUGUGAAAACUCAGGGCUCAACCCUGAGCCUGCAUUUGAAACUGUGUUUCUUGAGUGCUGGAGAGGCAAUCGGAAUUCCGUGUGUAGCGGUGAAAUGCGUAGAUAUACGGAGGAACACCAGUGGCGAAGGCGGAUUGCUGGACAGUAACUGACGCUGAGGCGCGAAAGCGUGGGGAGCAAACAGG
RNAcentral lists this ribosomal RNA (253 nucleotides) under uncultured bacterium. RNAcentral describes it as "partial 16S ribosomal RNA". It matches the Rfam family "Bacterial small subunit ribosomal RNA", at positions 524 to 776 of the family's 1533-position model. The record is from RNAcentral.